Anguilla anguilla (European eel) is the source of this 1601-nucleotide long non-coding RNA. RefSeq lists it as uncharacterized. The record is from RefSeq and is a predicted model, not a curated record. The transcript has 6 exons. Lineage: Eukaryota; Metazoa; Chordata; Actinopteri; Anguilliformes; Anguillidae.
CAUGGGGAGUGGGAGGAACUGGUGCUGGUCUUAUGCAGGGAAUGGGUACAGUGUGUACGCUAUGUAUUUGGCUUAGCAGACAAGAGGGAGAUGUACAUGCCUUACAUGAACAAUCUGUUCUUUAAAAAGCUAAAAGUUCUGUUCUAUGGAGGGCAAUAAAAUGAUAUGAUAUAUAAUACAAAGUAUUUAUCAAUUAUAUGUUUUUCAUGGGAGCAUUAAUGUAGUUUAAAGUAGAUUCAUGAGGUAAUUUUAUGAGGUAACCUGAGUUUAAAACCUGUAGCCUUCUUAAGGUUAAAAAACCCCUCUGCCAGGUAUACUUCAGAUCCUGCAUUAUUUUUCUUUUUUCAAUAAAGAGAAAACUUCCAUUACAUUUUCAAUGUGAAGAGAGGAUAUUUCAAUGGAGUUUGAUCUCUUUAUCUCACUGUCUUCAUAUCUAAAUUCAAUCAACUGAUCAAAGCAUAUUUUUAUAGUGAUUCUAAUACAAAGUGCCGGGCAAAGAAAAAACUGAAGAAAUCCAGGGAUUACUAUGGAAAUAACUGGAAAAUUGUUUCCAGACCUCAGGAAAAGAGCAGAGAUAAUUUCAUGGAAAACUAUGGAAGAAGCAAAGAGUAUAUUCCUUUGGAUUUAAAGGGAACAAGGCUGCAGAUAACAUUCCUGUUACCAUUCCAGAUGGAUCUAAGAUUUAUUAGAACUGUGAGGCCUGUCAUGUGACCUUCCUACAGCUGCUUUUUGGUGACGUUGAUGUCAGGGUCCUGGAGGUGGAGGCAACUGGAGGCUAUCCCAGCAUGCAGUGGGCAAGGAGCAGAAAUACACCCUGGAAAGGUCACCAAUCCAUUGCAGAGUUGUACGUAGUUUGCGAUUUAAUUGGAACUCUAAAGAGGAAGUAAAUUAGGGAUGAGUAGGAAUGGGGGACAUACGGAGAAUAGGAGACUAGGAAGUCACACUGUCCUCUCUUAAAUCAAUGAGGAUUACCACUAUCAUUGUUUAUAAGGCCAGGAUCAGUAUGGAGACAAUUUUCCCCUUUCCUGUUUCUCAAUUUUCUUAUUGGUUAAUAAGACGCGAUUGACAUUUGAUAGUUAAAAGCACGCCCCUAGUUAAGUUCGUGGUUGUAAAUAACAAGAAGUUUUAGCGGUGCUCUGAACCGUGUUCAUUAUUGUCUCUGUGCAUGUGUGUGCAUACCUGAAAGCUUUUUCAGCAAAUGUGAGUGGUCCUGGAUUCAGCCUGCUGGGAAACUGGCUUUCGGUCCCUGCUGUUGACGGCGUGGUGAAAGGGAUGACUGUGGCCGACUGAGCCGGUCCCCGCUGCCUUCUCACAGUGGGAGCUCGGAGAUGGAUGACCGGACACGAGCAGAACGCCCCAGCUUCCUUGGAUUGCAGUGAGACCUGGAGCCUACUUCUGUAUCUUUGGACUGAGGGAGGAAACCAGAGUACCCAUGCAAACGCAGGUAGAACAUGCAAACUCCAUCCGGCCGGAACUGGAACCUGGAACCUCCUUCUCGUGAAGCAACAGUGCUAACCGCUGUUCUACCCACACAAUUGAUAACCUGAUAAUAAUGAGUCACCUAUCAUUAAAACAUAAUACUCCCUUUUUUUCUUUGUGCU